This 434-nucleotide ribosomal RNA is filed under the name uncultured bacterium. Its description in RNAcentral is "bacterial SSU rRNA". It matches the Rfam family "Bacterial small subunit ribosomal RNA", at positions 28 to 446 of the family's 1533-position model. The record is from RNAcentral.
GAUGAACGCUGGCGGCGUGCUUAACACAUGCAAGUCGAGCGAAGCGGCUGAAUUGAUUCUUCGGAUGAUUUUCAGUUGACUGAGCGGCGGACGGGUGAGUAACGCGUGGGUGACCUGCCCCAUACCGGGGGAUAACAGCUGGAAACGGCUGCUAAUACCGCAUAAGCGCACAGAGCUGCAUGGCUCGGUGUGAAAAACUCCGGUGGUAUGGGAUGGGCCCGCGUCUGAUUAGGCAGUUGGCGGGGUAACGGCCCACCAAACCGACGAUCAGUAGCCGGCCUGAGAGGGCGACCGGCCACAUUGGGACUGAGACACGGCCCAAACUCCUACGGGAGGCAGCAGUGGGGAAUAUUGCACAAUGGGGGAAACCCUGAUGCAGCGACGCCGCGUGAGCGAAGAAGUAUUUCGGUAUGUAAAGCUCUAUCAGCAGGGAA